RNAcentral lists this ribosomal RNA (497 nucleotides) under uncultured bacterium. RNAcentral's name for it is "partial 16S ribosomal RNA". It matches the Rfam family "Bacterial small subunit ribosomal RNA", at positions 28 to 507 of the family's 1533-position model. The record is from RNAcentral.
GAUGAACGCUGGCGGCGUGCCUAAUACAUGCAAGUCGAGCGAACGGACGAGAAGCUUGCUUCUCUGAUGUUAGCGGCGGACGGGUGAGUAACACGUGGAUAACCUACCUAUAAGACUGGGAUAACUUAGGGAAACCGGAGCUAAUACCGGAUAAUAUUUUGAACCGCAUGGUUCAAAAGUGAAAGACGGUCUUGCUGUCACUUAUAGAUGGAUCCGCGCUGCAUUAGCUAGUUGGUAAGGUAACGGCUUACCAAGGCAACGAUGCAUAGCCGACCUGAGAGGGUGAUCGGCCACACUGGAACUGAGACACGGUCCAGACUCCUACGGGAGGCAGCAGUAGGGAAUCUUCCGCAAUGGGCGAAAGCCUGACGGAGCAACGCCGCGUGAGUGAUGAAGGUCUUCGGAUCGUAAAACUCUGUUAUUAGGGAAGAACAUAUGUGUAAGUAACUGUGCACAUCUUGACGGUACCUAAUCAGAAAGCCACGGCUAACUACGUG